CGGUGUUUAACUGGCGUGAUGUGGGACGUCCUACCGGUGGGCUUAGCCUCGCGAGGGGCGGCCCAACUAAUAUCCCGUCGCGGUGCUCUUUACUGAGUGUCGAGUCGGGCCGGUACGUUUACUUUGAACAAAUUAGAGUGCUUAAAGCAGGGCUAUCCUCGCCUGAAUACUGCGUGCAUGGAAUAAUGGAAUAGGACCUCGGUUCUAUUUUGUUGGUUUUCGGAACCCCGAGGUAAUGAUUAAUAGGGACAGAUGGGGGCAUUCGUAUUGCGACGUUAGAGGUGAAAUUCUUGGAUCGUCGCAAGACGGACAGAAGCGAAAGCAUUUGCCAAAAAUGUUUUCAUUAAUCAAGAACGAAAGUUAGAGGUUCGAAGGCGAUCAGAUACCGCCCUAGUUCUAACCAUAAACGAUGCCAGCUAGCGAUCCGCCGAAGUUCCUCCGAUGACUCGGCGGGCAGCUUCCGGGAAACCAAAGCUUUUGGGUUCCGGGGGAAGUAUGGUUGCAAAGCUGAAACUUAAAGGAAUUGACGGAAGGGCACCACCAGGAGUGGAGCCUGCGGCUUAAUUUGACUCAACACGGGAAACCUCACCAGGCCCAGACACCGGAAGGAUUGACAGAUUGAUAGCUCUUUCUUGAUUCGGUGGGUGGUGGUGCAUGGCCGUUCUUAGUUGGUGGAGCGAUUUGUCUGGUUAAUUCCGAUAACGAACGAGACUCUAGCCUGCUAAAUAGGCGUACCUUAUGGUAUCGCGAAGGCCCCCGGCUUCGGCCGGUGGGUUUUUACUACCAACGUACAAACAAAUCUUCUUAGAGGGACAGGCGG
Molecule: ribosomal RNA, 820 nt
Filed under: uncultured eukaryote
Lineage: Eukaryota
Description: SSU rRNA
Rfam family: Eukaryotic small subunit ribosomal RNA
Source: RNAcentral